Molecule: small nuclear RNA, 21 nt
Filed under: Arabidopsis thaliana (thale cress)
Lineage: Eukaryota; Viridiplantae; Streptophyta; Magnoliopsida; Brassicales; Brassicaceae
Description: snRNA_07559
Source: RNAcentral
UAAUUGGAAACUGAAAUUUUU